CGCGGUGUAGCUCAAUGGCAGAGCACUCGAUCGAUAAUCGAGCGAUGGCGGUUCAAUUCCUUCCGCCGCGACCA
RNAcentral lists this transfer RNA (74 nucleotides) under Pyrinomonadaceae bacterium. RNAcentral's name for it is "tRNA-Ile". It matches the Rfam family "tRNA". Rfam says of the family: Transfer RNA (tRNA) molecules are approximately 80 nucleotides in length. Their secondary structure includes four short double-helical elements and three loops (D, anti-codon, and T loops). Lineage: Bacteria; Pseudomonadati; Acidobacteriota; Blastocatellia; Blastocatellales; Pyrinomonadaceae. The record is from RNAcentral.